RNAcentral lists this transfer RNA (75 nucleotides) under Rickettsia prowazekii. Its description in RNAcentral is "tRNA-Thr". It matches the Rfam family "tRNA". Rfam says of the family: Transfer RNA (tRNA) molecules are approximately 80 nucleotides in length. Their secondary structure includes four short double-helical elements and three loops (D, anti-codon, and T loops). Lineage: Bacteria; Pseudomonadati; Pseudomonadota; Alphaproteobacteria; Rickettsiales; Rickettsiaceae. RNAcentral also lists the same sequence under 116 other names. The record is from RNAcentral.
GCCGGAUUAGCUCAGUGGUAGAGCAACCGCCUUGUAAGCGGUAGGUCAUCAGUUCAAAUCCGAUAUCCGGCACCA